GAUGAACGCUGGCGGCGUGCCUAAUACAUGCAAGUCGAGCGAACAGAUCAGGCGCUUGCUCCUUUGACGUUAGCGGCGGACGGGUGAGUAACACGUGGGUAACCUACCUAUAAGACUGGGAUAACUUCGGGAAACCGGAGCUAAUACCGGAUAAUAUUUCGAACCGCAUGGUUCGAUAGUGAAAGAUGGUUUUGCUAUCACUUAUAGAUGGACCCGCGCCGUAUUAGCUAGUUGGUAAGGUAACGGCUUACCAAGGCGACGAUACGUAGCCGACCUGAGAGAGGGAUCGCCCACAUGGGAACGGGGACGCGGACAAGACGCCUACGAGAGGCAGCAGUAGGGAAUCGGCCGCAAUGGGCGAAAACCUGACGGAGCAACGCCGCGUGAGUGAUGAAGAUCUUCGGAUCGUAAAACUCUGUUAUUAGGGAAGAACAUACGUGUAAGGAACUGUGCACGGCUUGACGGUACCUAAUCAGAAAGCCACGGCUAACUACGUG
This 497-nucleotide ribosomal RNA is filed under the name uncultured bacterium. RNAcentral describes it as "partial 16S ribosomal RNA". It matches the Rfam family "Bacterial small subunit ribosomal RNA", at positions 28 to 507 of the family's 1533-position model. The record is from RNAcentral.